This 497-nucleotide ribosomal RNA is filed under the name uncultured bacterium. Its description in RNAcentral is "partial 16S ribosomal RNA". It matches the Rfam family "Bacterial small subunit ribosomal RNA", at positions 28 to 507 of the family's 1533-position model. The record is from RNAcentral.
GAUGAACGCUGGCGGCGUGCCUAAUACAUGCAAGUCGAGCGAACGGACGAGAAGCUUGCUUCUCUGAUGUUAGCGGCGGACGGGUGAGUAACACGUGGAUAACCUACCUAUAAUACUGGGAUAACUUCGGGAAACCGGAGCUAAUACCGGAUCAUAUUUUCAACCGCAUGGAUCAAAAGUGAAAGACGGUCUUGCUGUCCCUUAUAGAUGGAUCCGCGCUGCAUUAGCUAGUUGGUAAGGUAACGGCUUACCAAGGCAACGAUGCAUAGCCGACCUGAGAGGGUGAUCGGCCACACUGGAACUGAGACACGGUCCAGACUCCUACGGGAGGCAGCAGUAGGGAAUCUUCCGCAAUGGGCGAAAGCCUGACCCAGCAACGCCGCGUGAGUGAUGAAGGUCUUCGGAUCGUAAAACUCUGUUAUUAGGGAAGAACAUAUGUGUAAGUAACUGUGCACAUCUUGACGGUACCUAAUCAGAAAGCCACGGCUAACUACGUG